CACGGGGUUGCGAGCGUUGUCCGGAAUUACUAGGCGUCAAGGGCAGGCAGGCGGAUCCAUAAGUUUAUCGUUUAAGGCGUCGGCUUAACCGGCGUAGGGCGGUAGAUACUGUGGAUCUGGAAUGCGGUUGGGGAAGACAGAAUUCCUGGUGUAGCGGUGGAAUGCGCAGAGAUCAGGAGGAAUACCGAAGGCGAAGGCAGUCUUCCAAGCCGUUAUUGACGCUCAACUGCGAAGGUGUGGGUAUCAAACAGGAUUAGAUACCCGCGUAGUCCCU
This 274-nucleotide ribosomal RNA is filed under the name uncultured prokaryote. RNAcentral describes it as "partial 16S ribosomal RNA". It matches the Rfam family "Bacterial small subunit ribosomal RNA", at positions 524 to 798 of the family's 1533-position model. The record is from RNAcentral.